AGCGAACGCUGGCGGCAGGCUUAACACAUGCAAGUCGAGCGCCCGUAGCAAUACGGGAGCGGCAGACGGGAGAGUAACACGUGGGAACGUACCCUUCGGUUCGGAAUAACCCAGGGAAACUUGGGCUAAUACAGGAUACGUCCGUAAGGAGAAAGAUUUAUUGCCGAGGGAUCGGCCCGCGUCCGAUUAGCUAGUUGGUGAGGUAAUGGCUCACCAAGGCGACGAUCGGUAGCUGGUCUGAGAGGAUGAUCAGCCUCACUGGGACUGAGA
This 270-nucleotide ribosomal RNA is filed under the name uncultured bacterium. RNAcentral describes it as "partial 16S ribosomal RNA". It matches the Rfam family "Bacterial small subunit ribosomal RNA", at positions 29 to 324 of the family's 1533-position model. The record is from RNAcentral.